RNAcentral lists this ribosomal RNA (301 nucleotides) under uncultured bacterium. RNAcentral describes it as "partial 16S ribosomal RNA". It matches the Rfam family "Bacterial small subunit ribosomal RNA", at positions 509 to 809 of the family's 1533-position model. The record is from RNAcentral.
CAGCAGCCACGGGAAUACGAAGGGGGCUAGCGUUGUUCGGAAUCACUGGGCGUAAAGCGCACGUAGGCGGAUACUUAAGUCAGGGGUGAAAUCCCGGGGCUCAACCUCGGAACUGCCUUUGAUACUGGGUAUCUUGAGUCCGGGAGAGGUUUGUGGAACUCCGAGUGUAGAGGUGAAAUUCGUAGAUAUUCGGAAGAACACCAGUGGCGAAGGCGGCCAACUGGCCCGGUACUGACGCUGAGGUGCGAAAGCGUGGGGAGCAAACAGGAUUAGAUACCCGUGUAGUCCCUGUCUCUUAUAA